UGUCUUUCCCAUUGGAUUGUGGCACCUUCGUGAUAUGAAAGCUACAGGUCACUUGUUACCCAGGAGAAAGGUAUUUGAUAUCAUUAUCCAGAGAAAGAGGUAAAACAACGGUGAAAUCUGAUGGAAGGAUUUUUUUCAUUUUUCUCCUACAGCACUAACUGAUAUUUUCAUUCACUGGAAGGUGGCCUCUUCACCUGAGAUUAACUCGGAACUAUACCUUUGUUCUGAGUUCCUAAAGCUUGGGUUUAGAGAGCCAGGACUUCGCAGUCUGGCAGAUCCACACAUUCCCAUUCCCUCUGCCUCCAUGGAAUGCUGGGGAAAAUACUAGAAUUAUCACCCAUGGCUUCCUCUGUACCCAGAAAAACCUUACAGGAACCAACAGCAGACUGUCUUUCAAGAGGGUGAACCCUCCACAACAUGACAGGCUCUGAAAACCUAUGCCAACCAACUAGUGGGGGUGUUCAGACACAUUUUCAAUCUCUCAUUGUAAUACACACAAAUUCUGGAGGAACUCAGCAGGCCAGGCAAACUUUUCAUUGAAUACCUACUCGUCCAUAGAUGCUACCUGGCCUAAGUUCCUCCAGCAUUUUGUGUGUAUUACUUUGAUUUCCAGCAUCUGUAGAUUUUCUCGUUCGUGAUUCAAUCUCUCAUUGCUUCAAAAGGACAACGAUCAUACCAGUACCAAGAGGAGCAGGGUGUGCUGCCUUAAACACUAUCAACACUACAGUGAUGAAGUGUCAGUCAUGGCUCAAUCAACUCCUGUCUCAGUAAGGACCUGGACUCACUGCAAUUUGGCAGUUGCCACAAUAAGUCUGCAGCAGAUGUGAUCUCAUUGGCUCUUCAUGUGACUGUGGAUCACUUGGACUUAUGUCAGGAUGCUAUUUACAGCUCAGUAUUUAACACAAUCGUUCCCAAAGUUCUGACUGAAACGCCCCAACAGCUAGGUGUUUAUACGUCCUUCUGUAACUGGAUCCUCAGCUUCCUCUCAGAAGACCACAAUCUGUGCGGAUCAGUAAUACUUCUCCAGCUUGCUGCCAAUCAACACUGACACACUGCCAGGCUGUAUGGUUAGCCCAUUGCUCUACCCUCUGUACACCGAUGAUUGUGUGGCUUGGCACAGCUUAGAUGCCAGCUCUAAAUUUGCUGUCAAUGCAUCUAUUUUUGACAACAUUUCAGAUAGUGCCAAGAAGAUGUACAGGAACAAGAUAUAUCAGUUGGUUGACUGGUAUUGCAGCAACAACUUGCACUCAACACCAGUAAGCCCAAAGAACUGAUUGUGGACUUCAGAAAGGGUAAGGCGAGUCACCAGUCAUCAUAAAGGGAUCAGACUGGAACGAGUAAUCAAUUUCAAGUUCCAGAGUGUCAAUUUGUCUGAGGAUCUACCCUGGGCCCAAUAUAUCAAUGCAGCUACAAAGAAGGCAGGACAGUGGUUUUAUUUCAUUAGGAGUUAGAGGAGAUUUGGUAUGUCACCAAAGACACUUACAAAUUUCUACAGAUGUAUUGUGGAGACCAUUCUUACUGGCUGGUUGGGGGGAGUGGGGGGGGCGGGUGCUACUACACUGAAUUGAAAGAAGCUGAAGAAAGUUGUAAACUCACUCAGCUCCAUCAUGGGCACUAGCCUCCCCAGCAUCCAGUACAUCUUCAAGAAGCAAUGUGUCAAAAAGGCAGCGUCCAUCAUUAAGGACCCCCAUCACCAAGAACAUGCCCUCUUCUCAUUGCUAUCAUCAGGAAGGAGUAACAGGGGCCUGAAGGCACACACUCAAAGAUUCAGAAACAGAGGAUUUCUGAAUGGAAAGUGAACCAUGAAUAUGACCUCAAAGGAUUGAAAGUACAUUUAUUAUCAAAGAAUGUAUAAAUUAUACAACCUUGAGAUUCGUUGUUUACAGGCAGCCACAAAGCAAGAAACUGGACAGAACCCAAUCAAAAAAGGCCAAGACGCAAUAUACAAAGAGGGGAGAAAACACAAAUCAUGCAAACAGUAAAAGCAAGCAACAGCACCCCGCCUCUGUGUCGACGUUCAAAUCGUCCGAACACUGGGUCGCCCCCCGCACUAGGACCCGGGUCCCCGUCAGCGAUACGCUAGUUGUACCCUGGCGGCGUUCUCGACCUUUCUCAAUCAGCUCGGCGUUUCGGUCGAUGCAACUUUGCGCCGGAUUUAGGUGGACGGGCUCUGCAACUCGUCCCUCGACUGAGCCGCGCCCGCGCUCGCGGUGACAGGUUCGCACAGGAAAGUGCCAUUUAACCGCCUGUCAGCUGUCAGGAUGUUUGCAAACUGCCUCACUACACUCUGCAGUAUUAUUUUAUUUAGUCUAGAUACUGUAAUUCGUUUUUUUAAGUACUGCUGCCGCAAAGACAAAUUUCACAUCGGUCGGUGACUGAAACCCGAUUCUGUCCGUCAGGGCCCCAGCGAUGCGCAUGCGCCAGAGAAAUGACUCCGCCCCCUUCCCUCGUGAGCAGAAAGCGCCCGGGGCCCGCGAACGGAUCGUGGGGCUGCGAGAGAGGGAAAGGACCGGGAAUGUUCUGGGAUGCGGAGUCACAGUGUGUCUGGAGCUCGCAACAACUGCCCCGCAGUCGCGGUGUGGAAGCCGGUGCUGAUAAAAUCCCCGCGCGGAACCCCGCUCCUACCUAUUACCGAUCUUCUACAGUCUGUUGCCAAUCAGCGCAUGCGCCAAUUACGGGAACGAGCUUUGUCUCAUACACAUGCGCAUUUGAUCGCUGUAUCACCGGCGGCAACUGGCGCAAGAGAUUUUGGAUGCUACCUCAACCGUCGAAUCCUCCGGUGUUUUGUGUGUACCUGGAAUAAGUGGGUCAUUUUCAGACUGGAAGGAGGUAACUUUUGGAGUACCCAGGUUCUGAUGUCGAAGCUGGGCUUAUUAUUCAGUUCAUUCCAUGAGUGUGUAACCAGUUGGAUAAUAAAUUUUCUGAUGAGCUAACAGAAGUCAAGCUUUUGACCUUGUACUAUUGCAAACACUACCAAUUUUCAAUUUGUGAAACAGAAUGUUGUACAACUGUCAAAAAAAACUGAGCUAAUAUUACAAACUACAAAGUAAGUGUUACUUCAAAAAUAUCGCAGCAAUACUAUGAUUUCCAAUUUUCACUUCUGGGAAAGUUAAGACUGGAUCAAUUAUGAUGUUCAUUGAUAUGUUAAACUACAUGCUUCGAAACGAAGAAUUGGAUAACUGACAAAUCUAGUUGACAUCACUAGAACUUUUCAAGCUUCCAGUGCUGACAGCGAACGUGGGUUCAGUCUUAAGAGCUUGAUCAAAUGUAAAUCCAGAAAGAAGAUUAGAAGUGGAACAUUCGUAUGAUCUAAUGAGGAUAAAGAAGUAUUUUUCACCUGAACCUAGAAGACUGGAGGGGAUAUUUUAUAGAGGUAUACAAAAUUAUGUGGAUGGGGUAUAGAUUGGGUAAUGGCAAGCAGGCUUUUUCCACGGAGGUUGGGUGAUACUACAACUAGAGGUAAUGGGUUAAGCAGAAACCCAUGACCUUUAAGAGUGAAAGGUGAAAUAUUUAAGGGGGAACAUGCAGCGAAACUUCUUCACUCAGAUGGUGGAGUGUGGAAUGAGUUGCCAGUGGAAUUAGUGUAUGUGAUUUGAUUGCUUCAGAGAAGUUUGGAUAGGUACAUAGAUGGGAGUGGUAUUGGGGGGAGGUAUAUGGAUGGGAGUGGUUUUGGGGGGAUAUGGUACAUGGAUGGGAGUGGUAUUGGGGGGAGGUACAUGGAUGGGAGUGGUUUUGGGGGGAUAUGGUACAUGGAUGGGAGUGGUAUUGGGGGAUAUGGUACAUGGAUGGGAGUGGUAAUGGGAGGAUAUAGUACAGGUAAGCGGAAAGGCCUGUUUCUGUGCUGUAGUAUUCCAUGACUCUUCAAUUUUGCCCCAUCAUCUGCCUGUCCUUCCUGACAGUCUCACUAUACACUACCUCUUCAGCCCGAUCACUCCAAUUCCAUUCCCUGAUAAAUUAGUUUAACCCCUCCACAACUGCUCUAGCAAACCCGCCUGGAGGGAUAUUGGUCCCCCUUGGGUUCGGGUGUAACUCAUCACAUUUGUACAGGUGAAACCUUCCCCAGAAGAGAUGCAAAUGAUCCAUAAAUCAGAAACACUACCCCAGGCACCAGUCUCUCAGCCACUCAUUCAUUUGCUGAAUCGUCCUAUUCUUGUCAUCAUUGCGCAUGGCAUAGACAAUCCAGAGAUUGUUACCCGGAGGUUCUGCUUUUCAGCUUUCUAUCUAGUUCUCUAAAUUCCCUCUUUAGGGCCCCUUCUCUUUUCAUUCCUAUGCCAUUAGUACCAAAAUGUACCAAGUUGUCUGGCUGCUCACUCUCCCCCUUUAGAAUAUCAUGUACACAAACCCUGACCCUGGCACCUGGGAGGCAACACACCAUCUGGGUCCCUCUAUCGCAUCCACAGACUCUCUGAUCUACUCCUUUAACUAUGGAAUUUCCCAUUUUCACUACACUCCCCCUUUGCCUCAUUCUCUUCUGAGCUACAGCACCAAAAUCUCUGCGGCUCCCCACUGGUAGGUUGUUCCCAACAGUAUCUAAUACUGUAUUCUAGUUAUUGAGAAAAGCGCAAGCGAGGCACUCUGUAUGGGCUGCCUAUUUCCCUUUCCUCUCCUGAUGGUCGCCUAUUCACCUACCUCCUGUAACCUCGGAGUGACUUCCUCACUGUAGAUCCUAUAUAUCACCUCUGCAGUCUCCUGUAUGACCCAAGGUCAUCAAGGUGCAGCUCCAGUUCUUUAAUGCAUUCUCUGAGGAGCUGCAGCUCGGUCCACCUGGUGCAGAUGUGGUUAUUCCCAGACCUCCGAGAAUUCCCAGAUCUCACACAAAGAACAAACCUCAGCCCCUGGAGCCAUUUUUACUGCCCUAACGAUACACUUGUAGAUGAAGAAUGAACAAGAAAAAGCUGACCAGAUACUUACGUUGCCCAUGCCUGAUGAGCCAAAGCCAAAAGUCUCUCCACUCCAACACUGCUGCACUCCAAUAAUGGCAGCUUCGCUUGUCCCUGCCUUAUUUUUAUUUGACUGUGCUAAUGAAUUCUGAACUCCUUUGUCAUGCUCUGAAAAUACGACUACGAAGCACAGAUUUUUAAAGCUGUAAAAUCAGUCCCUAUCUAUGCAAAUACUCAAAGAUUGGAUCCUUUAGAAUAUCUUCCAAUAACUUUCCUACUAUUAAUGUCAGGCUUACUGGCCUAUAAUUUCCCGGUUUAUUUUUAGAGCUUUUAUUAAACAGCGGAACAACAUUAGCUAUCCUCCAAUCCUCCAGUACCACACCUGACACUGAAGAUGAUUUCAAUAUCUCUGCUAGAGCCCCUGCAAUUUCUGCACUUGCCUUCCAUAGGGUCCUUGGGAACACUUUAACAUGCCCUGGUGAAUUAUCCACCCUAAUUUGCCUCAAGAAAGCAAACACCUCCUCCUUUGUAAUCUCCGUAGGGUCCAUGACCUUGAUGCCACUUUGCUUCACUUCUGUAGACUCUGUAUCCAUCUCUUGAAUAAAUACAGAUGCAAAAAAUCCAUUUAAAAUCUCCCCCAUCUCAUUUGGUUCCAUGCAUAGAUUACCAUUCUGAUCUUCCAGAGGACUAACUUUGUCCCUUGCAAUCCUUUUGCUCUUAACAUAUCUACAGAAUGAAUCUCUUAGGAUUCUCCAUCACCUUGUCUGCUAUGGCAACCUCAUGCCUUAAUUUUUAAGCCCUCAUUUCUUUCUGAAGUGUUCUCUUGCAUUUCUUAUACUCCAUAGGUAACUCAUUUGUUCAGACUGUCUAUACCUGUUUUUUUUUUCUUAACCUGGGCCUCAAUAUCUUUUGAAAACCUGGUGCAGAUGUGGUUGUCAGCCAGACAGAUACAAGCUUUGUACUCUCAAAUUUUCACUUUUAAAGGCCUCUCUCUUAUCAAUUACACCUUUGACAGAAAACUUCUGCUCCAAUCCACACUUGUCACAUUUCAGCAGGCUAGUGAGGGGUUGGCUAAGUUCAGUAUCUGAAUCAACCCAUGCUCUGUUGUAGUUGUAUAAACACAGAAAUGAUCAAAGUUGCUGGACUGAUGUAUUGCAAUUGGUUUUGCUGAUAUAACGGCCUUUGAACGAUCCUCAGUGACUUCUUGUUUGCUUUGGGAAAUUUUCUGUCCCAAGUAAGUCACUUCUUGUUGCAAAUGUGCCUUGUCCAAACUUGCUUUGUGUCCCUUGAAAGACAGAUAAAUCGAGUAGGUAGAGUACAUCACGUUCAUGCUGAUCUGCGGUCUCAGACGCAAUCAGGGUAUCAUCCACAUGUUGUAUGGUUGUUUAGUCAGUGCCUGGAAAGCCCCUUAGAUGUUGUCUCAAUGCCGUGGUAGACAGUAGGACUGCUGUGAAGUCCCUGUGGUUCACCAACGACUAUAAAAGCCAACUAUGAUUGACAUUCAGGCACCAGUGGUACCGACCAGAAACCAUUGGCCAUAUCGAUAACAUGUGUGGUAGGUUGAGGGUGUUGAAGAUCAUUGAUGAAUCUGCCACCAGAGAGAUUAACUUGUCAAUACGCUCCACUCAGUGAUCCUGUAAUCUACCAUUGGUCACCAAGUGCCAUUCACUUUCUGGACAGGUCAGACCGGACAGUUUGACCCACUGCGUGUCUUAACAAGAACUCCUCACUCAUCCAGCUGAUUGACAAUAGGUAUGAUGCCUUCUAUGAAUAUUCUGCUUAGUACUGUUACAAGUAAGGAACAACCUGGAGGUUGGAACAGAACGUGUUUCAUGUCCAAUGCAGCCAAGUAGUUCUGCUUGACUGGUAGUCACUCAGAAACAAUGAGCACACUCACACGCACAGAAUUAGUAGGUCAAACAUCAAUUGUUAGAUGGACAAGCCUACAAUAUCGACUGAUCCCGUUAUAUCAUAUGACAGACCGGUAACAGUCACUGGGUGGAUUGGACAUCUCUCCACCUGUUAGUUUUUCAGGCGAAACCUGCUUGAUAAUAUUCCAUCAGUUUUCUGGUCCGUUCUGAUCAGCACAAUCCAGAAGCCUCAGGAUUGAGUGUUGGUUCGGAUUUAGUGCUUUUAACUGGAGAUUCUGCUUCAGUUAGUUGCAAUGCUAACCUGUCUUGUUCACUUGCUCAUCCUAGAAUGAGGGAUUCACUUGGUCGUCUCCUGAUGGGAUUUAGAUGCUGAUGGCAUACACUACCAUCCUGAAGUGUUGAAGUAACUUGUUGACCCUCUUUCACCACAAUUUCUGCGUUCAUCCACCUUCAGCUUUCAGGGGUCGGGUCAAGAUAAAUGGGAUCUCCCACUGAUGUUCCUUAUUUGAAUUGUCCUGUAUUUUCAUUGUCUUUCAUCUGUCUCUUACUCUAUCUCCCACCUCUGGGUGGAACAAAUUUAAUUGGAAAUGCAACCUGCAGCCCAUCAGUAGCUCAGAUGGAGAGAAAGCUGUGGUAGUUUGAGGGGUUAUUUGGUACAUGAACAAAAACCAGUUGAUCCUGCUGUGUAUGUCCCCAUUAAACCUUUGUACUCCCUGCUUCACAAUCUGAACAGCUCUUUCACCCAUACCAUUUGAUGAUGGGUGAUAAAGGGUGAAUGUUGCAAUCGAAUUCCACUGUCUUGUAAGAAUACUUUGAACUCCUCACUUGGAAACAUGGGACUAUUAUCACAGAACUGGGGAUUCCACGCACACAAAAUAGUGUGCGUAAAAUGUUUAUCAUCAUCUGGCUGGUCAACGUCUUCACCGUUUUGGCCUUGAUCCAUUUAGAAAGCACAUCGAUAACUAUCCAGUGACUAUCCAGCAGGCCUGCGCAGUCUACAUGUAAAAGUCUCCAGGGUUUGGUUGGCCAAUGCAAUGGAGCCAUAGGUAUAGGAGUGUUUAAAGGUCGAGACUGCUGGUAUGAGUUGCCUGGACGAACAAUAAGCUCAAUGUCUUCAUGCUUUAAAUAUGAAAAUCCUGGAGGUACAUGGAGCUUAGAAAAAUAAAGCGCUAUGAGUAACCCUAGGUAAUUUCUAAAGUAAGUACAUAUUCAGCACAGCAUUGUGGGCCAAAGGGCCUGUAUUGUGCUGUAGGUUUUCUAUGUUUCUAAAACAUGGCCAGCAAUUAGCAGGACAGGCCAGUUAUCCACAUUCUGAGAGUUAGAGCAUCUAAACCCUGCAGGCUGGCGCAGUUGGUUGCAUGUCGUUACAGGAACCCCUCCCCUAUGGCCGACUCCUGACGGCCUUGGUUACUUAGAGAUUAUGCUGAUUGCCAUCGAUGACAGCUGGAUCCAAGCUGUCUGUCUCAGGAACUCAGCACCACUCCUCCGGUCCCAGUCCAUGAGGAGCUGCUGAACACUCCAAACAGUUCGUGAAUCCAGAAUUCUUUUUACAGUGAGGAACCGUUCUUCAGUGACAAACCUGGUGGCAGCAGGACUGACGGUAGUGGGGGCUAAAGGUUUAGUGUUUACAGGUUUUAAUUUGGAAAUGCGAAUGUGGGAUUGAUCUUGAGGGUCUUAGGGAGCUGCAAGGUGUAAGCCACCAGGUUCACUUUCUUGAGAACCUUGAAGGGUCCAAUGAACUUGGGCACCAACUUCCGAGACUCCACCUGGGAAGGCAAAUCCUGUAAAGCUGGAACCUGUCUUUUCAUGUGGUUAGCCUGUAUUUCAACCUUCCAUGUAGAGGCAGGGGAUUGGGAGUUUGACGUUCUAGUGUCCGUUUUUCAGUAUGGGCAAUCUGUUAGUUUUUGUGUGAGGGAAGGGUUGGGGUUUUUUGUGUGGGGGGGUGGGGUCGAUAUUUCUCUUUCAACGAUUUCCAUGGUUUUUCUUUUGUCUUGUAGGCAAGAUGAAUCUCAGGAGCUGUAUACUGGAUACAUACACUGAUAAUGAAAUGAACCUUUGAAUUCCUUCCCACAGUCUGAGCAGAUGAAUGGCAUCUCUCUAGUGUGAACUUGCCAAUGUAGCUGCAGUUAAGAUGACUGAGUGAAUCCCCUCCUACAUCCUCAGCAGAUGGAUUAAGUGAACAGCUUCUCACUGCUGUAAAUUUUCUGUUGUACGAUCAGCUUGGAUGACAGAAUGAAUUGCUUCCCACGGGCAGAACAAAUCAACAAAUGCUGAUGUGUUGUCAGCACCCCAAUUCCAGUGGACUCACUGAGUUCAAACCGAAAACUUCCUUUCAGACACAAAGCAUGUUUCCAGCUGGGAUGAGACACUUCUUCAUCUCCUAGGAUCAACAACAGAUAUAUUGGUGUUACAAAGGAAAUAUCUGGUCACUCCUUAAAUACCUGGACAGAGACAUUAAAACUGAUGUAUUGUUGUGUUUGAGAUUCCUGUACACAAAUUCUUUGCUGCUUCGCACCUGUAAAAGAAUGUACCAAGGAUACCGUUGGGUGAAGGACAGCACUUCAGAUGAGAUAAUUUUAGUUUCUAUAGCAACCACUGUUAUAGCGAGGUUCAACAGAAGUUGAAGUAUCAACUCCUGAUCUGCAAACUGAACAUGGAUCAGGAAUUUGAAUUGACUGUAUCAGAACGGGCUAUUUCUGCUUGCCUUCAAUCUGUGACGUGGCUCAGUUUGUCUCUCUCCACUUGUGUUAUUUCAAGUUCUGGUCAUAUCCCACAGCCCUACAAAGAACACAUGAUAUUACAUGAUUACAUGACUGAUCCUGGAAACUUUCUAAUUACCCUGUCCCUCUCUCCCACCACCCAAGGUGAUUGACAGUGGUGAACUCAUAUACCAAAAGCUCAUGAGGUCAUGAACGUUCAGCUACAAGAAAUAUUUAUGUAUGAUUCGGAAACUGGAGUUAUCUGUUUGUGUUGACGUGAUGCGAAAGUUGCUGGAGAAUUUCCUAGUGGAAAGAAGUGGGAUGAUAUUUGGAAACUUGACUUUUUGAAGCAUCAUUUGGCAAAUAAAUCGCAUUUGGUUGGUGUGAAAAAGCUCAGGCAACAGAACCCGUCAUUACAGGAGUGCUACGCAUGUUACGGUUGAGUGCAGAUGAGCAAAAGUGAAAACGAUCAAACCCAGAGGAGAUCAAAGUUCUUUUCGACAGCGUGUUUUUAGCUGUUAAAAUGAAUAACUCUUUACAUUCUGUUCAAAGCAUUAAUGAACAUAUGGAAAAGUAUGUUUAACUCUCAGACAGCUGGCAAAGCAAAAGUUAUGUGUUCAAGUUUCUGGAGACUAUCCAGAACAAGUCAAUGCCUUAUGUCUAAAAUAUCAUGAUUUUCUAGCUGAAAAUACUGUAAUGGUUAGACAGUUUAAUGAUUUCAAGUUUUCCGUGCAAGAAAAAAUUAAAUCCAAACUGAUUUCAAACUUUGCUCAAAUGGUGGCAUUAGUACUUCAAAAUGAACAGUUUUGCGACCUUGCACGGUUGAUGGACAUUGGGGGAACAUUUCUUGAGUCUAGUGCAAACUGUGAGCGAGGUUUUAGCCUAAUGAAUCAACUCAAAAACAAGCUGAGAAACCGUUUAGCUGAAUGUCAUUUGGAUAUGUUAAUGAGAAUCAAAAGCUAUCAAUUGGAUGGAAGUUCUAUUAGUCUAGAAAGAGUUUACAAAGAAUGGGUAAAUGCCAAAGACAGGAGAGAGAAAAAAUAACCGAGUGACUUAAAUAUACAUGUUAUUUUGUUGUUAUUCUGUGCAGUUUUAUGUCAAAUAUUUUGUAAACCUACAUAAAUUGUGCCAUGUACUUUUUUUUCAGUGUGCACGUACUUUUGUCACAGGAAAAAAAUUUGCACAACAUAAGAUUUUUGCACACAAUGACUACUAAAAAUUAGAGGGAACUUUGCCUCUGACUGGACUACAGUUCCUCGCCUCACUUCCCCAGGUGUUGUCUGAGAAAGCCCAGGCUGAGAGUUCCUCACUCUAGUUGAGUGGGAUUACUGACAUUGGAGUCAUAGUUUUACCAUGCUGCUGAAU
Long non-coding RNA from Mobula hypostoma (lesser devil ray), 10815 nucleotides. RefSeq lists it as uncharacterized. The transcript is spliced from 4 exons. The record is from RefSeq and is a predicted model, not a curated record. Lineage: Eukaryota; Metazoa; Chordata; Chondrichthyes; Myliobatiformes; Myliobatidae.